Molecule: transfer RNA, 73 nt
Filed under: Helianthus annuus (common sunflower)
Lineage: Eukaryota; Viridiplantae; Streptophyta; Magnoliopsida; Asterales; Asteraceae
Description: tRNA-Asp
Rfam family: tRNA
About the family: Transfer RNA (tRNA) molecules are approximately 80 nucleotides in length. Their secondary structure includes four short double-helical elements and three loops (D, anti-codon, and T loops).
Source: RNAcentral
GGUGGUUGUAGUAUAGUGGUAAGUAUUCCCCCUAUCACGCGGGUGACCCGGGUUCGAUCCCCGGCAACGGCGU